This 1501-nucleotide ribosomal RNA is filed under the name uncultured prokaryote. Its description in RNAcentral is "partial 16S ribosomal RNA". It matches the Rfam family "Bacterial small subunit ribosomal RNA". The record is from RNAcentral.
AGAGUUUGAUCAUGGCUCAGAUUGAGCGCUGGCGGCAGGCCUAACACAUGCAAGUCGAGCGGUAACAGAUCUAGCUUGCUAGAUGCUGACGAGCGGCGGACGGGUGAGUAACGCGUAGGAAUUUACCUAAUGGCGGGGGAUAGCCCGGGGAAACUCGGAUUAAUACCGCAUAAGCUCUACGGAGGAAAGCAGGGGAUCUUCGGACCUUGCACUAUUGGAUGAGCCUAAGUCAGAUUAGCUUGUUGGUGGGGUAAAGGCCCACCAAGGCGACGAUCUGUAGCUGGUCUGAGAGGAUGAUCAGCCACACUGGGACUGAGACACGGCCCAGACUCCUACGGGAGGCAGCAGUGGGGAAUAUUGGACAAUGGGGGCAACCCUGAUCCAGCCAUGCCGCGUGUGUGAAGAAGGCCUUAGGGUUGUAAAGCACUUUCAGUAGGGAGGAAAAGUUAGUCGUUAAUAACGGCUAACCGUGACGUUACCUACAGAAGAAGCACCGGCAAACUCCGUGCCAGCAGCCGCGGUAAUACGGAGGGUGCGAGCGUUAAUCGGAAUUACUGGGCGUAAAGCGCGCGUAGGCGGCCUGAUAAGUUGGAUGUGAAAGCCCUGGGCUCAACCUAGGAACUGCAUUCAAAACUGUCAGGCUAGAGUAUGGUAGAGGAUAGUGGAAUUUCCGGUGUAGCGGUGAAAUGCGUAGAGAUCGGAAGGAACAUCAGUGGCGAAGGCGGCUAUCUGGACCAAUACUGACGCUGAGGUGCGAAAGCGUGGGGAGCAAACGGGAUUAGAUACCCCGGUAGUCCACGCAGUAAACGAUGUCUAUUAGAAGUUUGUGGCUAUAUGCCGUGGGUUUCAAAGCUAACGCAUUAAAUAGACCGCCUGGGGAGUACGGCCGCAAGGUUAAAACUCAAAUGAAUUGACGGGGGCCCGCACAAGCGGUGGAGCAUGUGGUUUAAUUCGAUGCAACGCGAAGAACCUUACCAGGUCUUGACAUCCCGAGAAUUUACUAGAGAUAGUUUAGUGCCUUCGGGAACUGGGUGACAGGUGCUGUAUGGCUGUCAUCAGCUCGUGUCGUGAGAUGUUGGGUUAAGUCCCGCAACGAGCGCAACCCUUAUCCUUACUUGCCAGCGGGUUAUGCCGGGAACUUUAGGGAGACUGCCGGUGAUAAACCGGAGGAAGGUGGGGACGACGUCAAGUCAUCAUGUCCCUUACGGGAUGGGCUACACACGUGCUACAAUGGCAGGUACAGAGGGCAGCAAUACCGCGAGGUGGAGCGAAUCCCACAAAGCUUGUCGUAGUCCGGAUUGGAGUCUGCAACUCGACUCCAUGAAGUCGGAAUCGCUAGUAAUCGUAGAUCAGAAUGCUACGGUGAAUACGUUCCCGGGCCUUGUACACACCGCCCGUCACACCAUGGGAGUGGGAUGCAAAAGAAGUCAUUAGCUUAACCUUUCGGGGAUGGCGAUGACCACGGUGUGGUUCAUGACUGGGGUGAAGUCGUAACAAGGUA